AGAGUUUGAUCCUGGCUCAGAUUGAACGCUGGCGGCAUGCCUUACACAUGCAAGUCGAACGGUAACAGGUCUUCGGAUGCUGACGAGUGGCGAACGGGUGAGUAAUACAUCGGAACGUGCCCGAUCGUGGGGGAUAACGAGGCGAAAGCUUUGCUAAUACCGCAUACGAUCUACGGAUGAAAGCGGGGGAUCUUCGGACCUCGCGCGGACGGAGCGGCCGAUGGCAGAUUAGGUAGUUGGUGGGAUAAAAGCUUACCAAGCCGACGAUCUGUAGCUGGUCUGAGAGGAUGAUCAGCCACACUGGGACUGAGACACGGCCCAGACUCCUACGGGAGGCAGCAGUGGGGAAUUUUGGACAAUGGGCGAAAGCCUGAUCCAGCCAUGCCGCGUGCAGGAUGAAGGCCUUCGGGUUGUAAACUGCUUUUGUACGGAACGAAAAGCCUCUUUCUAAUAAAGAGGGGUCAUGACGGUACCGUAAGAAUAAGCACCGGCUAACUACGUG
Molecule: ribosomal RNA, 502 nt
Filed under: uncultured Diaphorobacter sp.
Lineage: Bacteria; Pseudomonadati; Pseudomonadota; Betaproteobacteria; Burkholderiales; Comamonadaceae
Description: bacterial SSU rRNA
Rfam family: Bacterial small subunit ribosomal RNA
Source: RNAcentral